Molecule: ribosomal RNA, 253 nt
Filed under: Desulfobacteraceae bacterium
Lineage: Bacteria; Pseudomonadati; Thermodesulfobacteriota; Desulfobacteria; Desulfobacterales; Desulfobacteraceae
Also listed under: 1 other name
Description: partial 16S ribosomal RNA
Rfam family: Bacterial small subunit ribosomal RNA
Source: RNAcentral
UACGUAGGGGGCGAGCGUUGUCCGAAGUUACUGGGCGUAAAGCGCGCGUAGGCGGUUGCUUAAGUUAGAUGUGAAAUCCUGGGGCCCAACCCCAGAACUGCAUCUAAAACUGGGCGACUUGAGGACGGGAGAGGGCAGUGGAAUUCCUGGUGUAGCGGUGAAAUGCGUAGAUAUCAGGAGGAACACCCGUGGCGAAGGCGGCUGCCUGGUCCGUAUCUGACGCUGAGGCGCGAAAGCUAGGGGAGCGAACGGG